Molecule: non-coding RNA, 22 nt
Filed under: Arabidopsis thaliana (thale cress)
Lineage: Eukaryota; Viridiplantae; Streptophyta; Magnoliopsida; Brassicales; Brassicaceae
Source: RNAcentral
GCUGUUAAGAAGUGUUAACGGU